UACGUAGGGGGCGAGCGUUGUCCGGAAUUAUUGGGCGUAAAGGGCGUGUAGGCGGCCUGUUAAGUCAGGGGUGAAAGACCGGGGCUCAACUCCGGGUUUGCCCAUGAAACUGAUGGGCUUGAGUGCUCUAGAGGGCAGUGGAAUUCCCGGUGUAGCAGUGAAAUGCGUAGAGAUCGGGAGGAACACCAGUGGCGAAGGCGGCUGCCUGGGGAGUAACUGACGCUGAGGCGCGAAAGCUAGGGGAGCAAACAGGAUUAGAUACCCUGGUAGUCCUAGCCGUAAACGAUGAGUGCUAUGUGUGAGGGGUAUCGACCCCCCUCGUGCAGGAGUUAACGCAAUAAGCACUCCGCCUGGGGAGCACGGCCGCAAGGUUGAA
This 376-nucleotide ribosomal RNA is filed under the name uncultured bacterium. Its description in RNAcentral is "bacterial SSU rRNA". It matches the Rfam family "Bacterial small subunit ribosomal RNA", at positions 524 to 898 of the family's 1533-position model. The record is from RNAcentral.